This 292-nucleotide ribosomal RNA is filed under the name uncultured bacterium. Its description in RNAcentral is "partial 16S ribosomal RNA". It matches the Rfam family "Bacterial small subunit ribosomal RNA", at positions 505 to 796 of the family's 1533-position model. The record is from RNAcentral.
GUGCCAGGAGCCGCGGUAAUACGGAGGGGGUUAGCGUUGUUCGGAAUUACUGGGCGUAAAGCGCGCGUAGGCGGCCUAUUAAGUCCGGGGUGAAAUCCCGGGGCUCAACCCCGGAACUGCCUUUGAUACUGGUAGUCUAGAGUUCGAGAGAGGUGAGUGGAACUCCGGGUGUAGAGGUGAAAUUCGUAGAUAUUCGGAAGAACACCAGUGGCGAAGGCGGCUCACUGGCUCGAUACUGACGCUGAGGUGCGAAAGUGUGGGGAGCAAACAGGAUUAGAUACCCGGGUAGUCC